ACGCUCGACACCUACGGAGGCAGCAGUGGGGAAUAUUGCACAAUGGGGGAAACCCUGAUGCAGCGACGCCGCGUGAGCGAAGAAGUAUUUCGGUAUGUAAAGCUCUAUCAGCAGGAAAGAAGAAAGACGGUACCUGACUAAGAAGCCCCGGCUAACUACGUGUCAGCAGCCGCGGUAAUCUGAGCGGGCUGGCAAGGC
RNAcentral lists this ribosomal RNA (198 nucleotides) under uncultured bacterium. RNAcentral describes it as "partial 16S ribosomal RNA". It matches the Rfam family "Bacterial small subunit ribosomal RNA", at positions 328 to 539 of the family's 1533-position model. The record is from RNAcentral.